RNAcentral lists this ribosomal RNA (448 nucleotides) under uncultured bacterium. RNAcentral's name for it is "bacterial SSU rRNA". It matches the Rfam family "Bacterial small subunit ribosomal RNA", at positions 355 to 825 of the family's 1533-position model. The record is from RNAcentral.
UGGGGAAUAUUGGACAAUGGGCGCAAGCCUGAUCCAGCCAUGCCGCGUGAGUGAUGAAGGCCCUAGGGUUGUAAAGCUCUUUUUGUGCGGGAAGAUAAUGACGGUACCGCAAGAAUAAGCCCCGGCUAACUUCGUGCCAGCAGCCGCGGUAAUACGAAGGGGGCUAGCGUUGCUCGGAAUCACUGGGCGUAAAGGGUGCGUAGGCGGGUCUUUAAGUCAGAGGUGAAAUCCUGGAGCUCAACUCCAGAACUGCCUUUGAUACUGAAGAUCUUGAGUUCGGGAGAGGUGAGUGGAACUGCGAGUGUAGAGGUGAAAUUCGUAGAUAUUCGCAAGAACACCAGUGGCGAAGGCGGCUCACUGGCCCGAUACUGACGCUGAGGCACGAAAGCGUGGGGAGCAAACAGGAUUAGAUACCCCCGUAGUCCCUGAGCGGGCUGGCAAGGCGCAU